RNAcentral lists this ribosomal RNA (510 nucleotides) under uncultured bacterium. RNAcentral describes it as "partial 16S ribosomal RNA". It matches the Rfam family "Bacterial small subunit ribosomal RNA", at positions 28 to 507 of the family's 1533-position model. The record is from RNAcentral.
GACGAACGCUGGCGGCGUGCUUAACACAUGCAAGUCGAACGAAGAGAGAUGGAAGCUUGCUCCUUGCAGUCUUAGGGGCGAAGGGGUGAGUAACGCGUAAACAACCUGUCCAUCAGAGGGGGACAAUAGGGGGAAACGACCGAUAAUACCGCAAACGAUCUAAUCGCGGGAUCGAGGAGAGAAGAAAGGUGGCGCCGACACGUAAGCAAUGACUGAAGCAGGGGAAUGCGGCUGCUUAGCUAGCUGGAGGGGUAACGGCCGACCAAGGCGAAGAUCAGUAGCCGGUCUGGGGGGAUGGACGGCCACAUUGGGACUGAGACACCGCCCCGGCUCCUACGGGAGGCAGCAGUGGGGGAUCUUCCGCAAUGGACGAAAGUCUGACGGGGCAACGCCGCGUGAGCGGUGGCAGCCUUCGGGUUGUAAAGCUCUGUUUAUCGGGACGAAAGGCCUUCUUGCGAAUAGUGAGACGGAUUGACGGUACCGAAAUAGAAAGCCACGGCUAACUACGUG